Molecule: non-coding RNA, 4968 nt
Organism: Malus domestica (apple)
Lineage: Eukaryota; Viridiplantae; Streptophyta; Magnoliopsida; Rosales; Rosaceae
Source: RefSeq, a predicted model, not a curated record
UUAUAUAAAAUUAAAUAUUAAAAGUCCUAACCAAACAAUAAAAUAAAAAAUUUCAACCUACCCGUUUCAUUUAAGAAGCUGAAUUCAAACGAAAUGCCGGGGAGCGAUUAGGGAGUGAAAUUGCCAUCGCCAGACUACUCCGUCCUCAGCCGAACCAAAUGAUCUGCUACUUCGCGCGCAGGUCCCUCCACGUGUCCCGAACACCCCACUGGAAGCUCCGGGACGAGUACAAGCUCACCCGCCCCCAGUUACACGACCGCAUAUCCCGCCUCCUCCUCCUCCAGCGCUACGACGCCCUUCACCAGCUCUCCUUUGACUUCUCCGACCGCCUCCUCAGCACCGUCCUCCGCCAACUGAAGCUCAACCCCGCCGCCUGCUUAGCCUUUUUCAAAUUGGCUUCCAAGCAGCACAAGUUCAGGCCCAACCUCAAGUCUUACUGUAUGAUUGUUCAUAUCUUGUCCAGAGCUGGAAUGCACGACCAAACCAGAGCGUAUUUGAACGAGUUGGUCCGUCUCUGCAACAACCAUUGUUCAGCAUUCGUGGUCUGGGAUGAGCUUGUUCGCGUUUACAGGGAAUUUACGUUUUCUCCAACGGUUUUCGACAUGGUUCUCAAGGUGUUUGCUGAGAAGGGCAUGACCAAGUGUGCACUUCAUGUGUUUGAUAAUAUGGGUAAGUGCGGUCGAGUUCCUAGUUUGAGGUCUUGUAAUUCAUUGUUGAGUAAUUUGGUCAGAAACGGUGAAUGUUUCAAUGCAUUGCUUGUGUAUGAGCAGAUAAUUAGGUUGGGGAUUGUUCCCGAUGUUUAUACCUGUUCGAUAAUGGUGAAUGCGUAUUGUAAGGAGGGGAGGCUGAGUAGAGCGGCGGAGUUUGUCAAAGAGAUGGAAAGUUUGGGUUUUGAAUUAAAUGUGGUGACUUACAAUAGUUUGAUUAAUGGGUACAUCAGUUCGGGAGAUGUUGAAGGAGCCCGAUUGGUGUUGGGGUUGAUGUCUGAGAAAGGAAUUAAGAGAAAUGUGGUGAGUUAUACACUGUUGAUUAAGGGUUACUGCAAGCAGUGUAAGAUGGAGGAAGCGGAGAAGGUGCUUCGAGGUAUGAAGGAGGAGGAGGGGGACGAGUUUGUGGUUGUGGAUGAACUUGCUUAUGGCGUCUUGUUAGAUGGGUAUUGUAAAGCUGGCAGAAUUGAUGAUGCUAUUAGGAUUCGGGAUGAGAUGUUGACCAUGGGUUUAAGUAUGAAUAUUUUCAUUUGCAACUCCUUGAUCAAUGGGUACUGCAAGGUCGGUCAAGUUCGUGACGCGGAGGGAGUGUUGUUGCGGAUGAGAUAUUGGAACUUAAACCCUGAUUCUUAUAGUUAUAAUACCCUUAUGGAUGGGUAUUGUAAGAAAGGUCAGACAAGUGAUGCAUUGAAGCUUUUUGAUGAGAUGCUUCAGGAAGGAAUCCAUCACACUGUUAUAACUUAUAAUACGCUUCUCAAGGGUUUAUGUCAAGCGGGUGCUUUUGAUGAUGCCUUGCAUCUUUGGCAUCUAAUGUUGAAAAGAGGGUUGGCUCCUGACGAGGUUAGCUAUUGUUCUCUGCUUGAUGGGGUUUUGAAGAAGGAAGAUCUUGAUGGGGCUAUAACUCUGUGGAAAGAUAUUCUAGCAAAGGGUUUUACCAAAAGUAAGUUUGCUUUCAAUACAAUGAUUAAUGGGUUAUGCAAGAUGGGAAAAAUGGUUGAAGCGGAAGAGGUUUUCGAAAAGAUGAAGGAGCUAGGAUGUUUACCUGAUGAGAUGACUUAUAGAACCCUGAGUGAUGGGUACUGUAAAAUUGGGAACGUUGAAGAAGCUUUCAAAGUUAAGAGUUUGAUGGAAAGGCAAGCAAUACUUCCUUCCAUUGAAAUGUACAAUUCUCUCAUCAAUGGUGUCUUUAUGUCCAGGAAAUUAAGUAAAGUGAAUGGUCUUCUUGCUGAGAUGCAGACAAGGGGAUUAACCCCGGAUAUUGUUACAUAUGGAGCCCUGAUCACUGGUUGGUGCAAUGAAGGGAUGCUGGAUAAAGCUUUGAGUUCAUAUUUUGAGAUGAUUGACAAAGGGUUCACCACCAAUUUAAUUAUUUGCAGCAAAGUUGUCAGUACUCUGUAUAGGCUUGGUAGGAUUGAUGAAGGAAAUAGUCUGUUGCAGAAGCUAUUGGAUUUUGAUUUUUUUUCAGAUCAGCAAUGUUUUUCGAAGCUUUGCAAAGUUGGCAGUAGAAAUCAAGAAAUUCAAAAAUUUGCAGAUUCUCUUGAUGAAAGUGCUGAAAGUUUCUCUCUGUCCAACCCGGUUGUAUACAAUAUUGCUAUCUUGGGGCUCUGCAGAUCAGGGAAAGUUGCUGAUGCAAGGAAAUUAAUAUCGUCAUUAUUGCUCAGUGGUAUUUCUCCAGACAACUUUACUUAUUGCACCCUAAUCAAUGCCACGGCUGCUGCUGGUAAUGUGACUGAGGCUUUCAACUUACGAGAUGAAAUGCUGAAAGGGGAUCUUGUUCCUAACAUUACCACAUAUAAUGCUCUUAUAAAUGGCUUGUCCAAAUCAGGAAAUUUGGAUAGAGCACAGAGGCUUUUCCAUAAACUUAACCGAAAGAAGUUAGUUCCUAAUGAUGUUACCUACAAUAUAAUGAUUGGUGGAUACAGCAGAAUUGGAAAUACUGUGGAAGCGUUUAAAUUUUGGAAUGAGAUGAUUCGAAAAGGGAUUGCUCCCUCUGUUAUCACUUACUCUGCAUUGAUCAAUGGUCUUUAUAAGCAAGGAAAUUUGGAAGAAUCUGUGAAGCUUUUGAGUCAACUGAUCAAGGUGGGAGUGCAGCAUAACCUUGUUAAUUACAUACUCCAGUUUGGUUCAAAGCAUUGAAUGAAGGGUGAGGGUAAGAUAUUAAACUUAAACAUACGAUGUGUCAUAGCCGCUCCUCUGUGUUAUUUCUCACCAAAGAAGCAUUUAUUAGCCUUAAAGUACUGAAGGACAAAUAAAAAAUAUAUACAACUGGAUCGGUGGUGUUUUGUCUUCAAGUUCAUGGAAUAUUUAGACUCCUCAUCUGUUGGAAUUUAGAAUAAAAACAGCUGCACAGGUACAAAGAAUUUGGAAUUUGGCUCUUAGUGUCAGCUCUGAGUUGUCAAGGUUGAGAUGGUGCCUUGUGUUCUUGGGUUGGACCAGUCAUCAUUUCAGCUUCAGUUUCAGGCACAAGGCUAAGGUAGCUAGAAUUGCAAUCUCAACCUUCACUUGUUUCUCUGCGAAGGUUGCCAAUAAUGAUAAAGCAGAGUCUAGACUAGUGAAAGAGAAAAACGUAUCGGUGAUUCUUUUGGCUUGAGGGAAGGGCAGGAUGAGGGUAAGUCUUGUUGGAUACCAUGUUUUUACCUCCCUAUAUUCCCCAUUUGAUCAUCAAAUUCUCAUCUUCAUGUACAUUUGCCUGUGUAUGAAUGGAAUAUGAAUUGAAAUGCUAUAUCAUCUUUAACUACGGCUUUUUUUGUUAAUUCCAAGUCUACCAGAUGACAAUGCUUUUUUAUAUGUUUGUGCAACUAGGCCAGCAUGCCAAAGCAAUAUCUUCCGUUGUUAGGUCAGCCAAGUACAUUGUGUACUAUGUGUUUGAUGAGUUCCUUAUGGAUUAUGGUUUAGGCGGUGCUACUUAUCUCGACAUAUCACUGAUUGAAUUUUUUUUGGUCAAACGAUAGAUUUUAUUAGAUUAGCCACCAACGGGGUUUAAACCCAUGCCUUCGUGCAAGGGCUCAACACCUUUCCACCAUUGUGGUAAAGGGCCACUUGCACUGUUUGAAAAUAUUGAAUACAUGUUAAUAGUCGGACGUCAUGAAAUUUUGACCUCAAUAUACCACUACUGAUCUUUAACUUUUUUCUUAUACUACUUGUUAGACCCUCUCUACUUGUUUCUCAAUUGUACAGUAAAAGUAACCUUGUAUUUCAGAAAUGACUACAAUAAUAGCCUUUCUCCUCUUACAAGAAUCCUAUUUAUAGUAACUAAGAAAAUACUCAGCUACUAAGUAAACAGAAUACUCAUCUUCUUGGUACAGAUGCAGAGGCAGUGAUUAGGGUGGUUAAGAAUCUGAGGGUGUGCUGGGAUCACCAUGCAGCCCUCAAUAUGAGGGAUAAUAACAGGUUCCACUGUUGCAGUGAUGGGGUAUGUUCUUGCAGAGACUAUUGGUAAUGGGUUUCGUUAAUUUGUCAUUUUCAUGCUAAUGAGGACACUGACAAACCAAAUUGCUAAUGCUCUGGGCAACUAUGCCAACAUGGCAACAUGCCAAAGCAAUAUCUUUGGCUUUUCGGCCAGCCUAUUGCAUUGUACAGGUAGAUUACUGCACUCUCAUUCUCAGCAACCUAAUUGGGGAAUUUUUCUGAUUUAGGAGAGAAGCUUUGAUACCAAGUAAGUUGUCCAAUUAGUUGUGAACACCAUGUAUUAGAUUGUCUUUAGAGUGUACAAUGCUUUUUAGUCAUAUCCCUUGAGAAUUGAGAUGGAUGGAUACUGUUUUGAAUUGGAUGAAUAAUGUUAAAACAAGGAUUAUAAAGUGAAUGAAACUUUAUGCUUUAGACAUGUUUUGCUCUCUUGCCUUGCCCUGCCCUCCUUGUAAAUGCAUUGGCUCUUGGCUUGGACAUGUUUUGUAUACUGGGUGUAGUGAUGCAGGAGAAGUUUAAACUAAAUGGUUGGUCAUGUAAUGUUGUGACACCCAUACCUAAGAUCCAGAAGGAAGUUAAAUUCACAGUACCAGGGAAGGAGGGAAGGAAAGACGAAAUUAUUUCUUUUUCUAUCGUGAGUCGAGAAUAAUAAGAAAGUCACCAUAAUUAUACACAACAGGAGUGUCUAUCAUUUGUGAAGGUCUCUCUGUUGUUGCCCAAGGUUCAAUCUAUCUGAUUUAAAAUUAUUAUUAAGUCUCAGCAGAAGUGCUUUUCCGGAUGUUGCUGGAAGCAGUGUGCUGAUGCUAUUUCAGAAAUGUUGCACUGCCCUCUUAUAUAUGAUUUCUCUCUUUCUUCA